Phascolarctos cinereus (koala) is the source of this 297-nucleotide long non-coding RNA. RefSeq lists it as uncharacterized. The record is from RefSeq and is a predicted model, not a curated record. NCBI's taxonomy places the organism in Eukaryota, Metazoa, Chordata, Mammalia, Diprotodontia, Phascolarctidae.
GCUAUGACAGAAAUGAAGGAUGGCUAGUCUGGAUCACUCUCCAAAGUGAGGGCCGUAGGAGAGCUAACCAAUGGAAGAAUGGAGCCAGUUUCAUAAAGGGACAUUCCAAGCUUAGAUGGCCCCAAACACUGAGGCAAGUUCCAGGAAAAGAUGGUCACUGAGUUGGUGUGUGGGUCAGGUGGAUUUCCAAAAUACAAUAAAUAAAUACCUGUACUAGACUGCAAGCUCGUUGUAAUAGGUUUGAUGGAACUAGCUUAUCAUCUAUCAAGAGUAGCAUAUGAAGUACUUCAUCAUAGG